Long non-coding RNA from Sycon ciliatum, 358 nucleotides. RefSeq lists it as uncharacterized. The transcript has 3 exons. NCBI's taxonomy places the organism in Eukaryota, Metazoa, Porifera, Calcarea, Leucosolenida, Sycettidae. The record is from RefSeq and is a predicted model, not a curated record.
AUCGUAGUGCAAAUGAUAGCAUUGCAAACGUGUCCACGGAAGGCAUGGUAACCUGUAAGCUUGGGUACGAGUACAAGGGUAAUCAGCCUGUCUGCAUUGGGAAUAACACGAUAUUGCCAUGCACAGCGUGUAAGCCUCGCCCUGGUGAUCACAUCAGAGCUAUAAACAAUGAAGGUUAUGUUACGUGCCAUUCUGGCUAUGAAUACUUGGAUGGUCAGCCGGCUUGCACUGGAACUAAUACGCUUGGAACCUGUACAGCCAUAACGACACCAAGACCGAUAGUGCCAAUCCCUAAGGGACCAGAGACAGCUGCACAAGCUACCACACAGACUCCCACAACUGAGGAAGCAACAACACA